This 263-nucleotide unclassified non-coding RNA is filed under the name Hevea brasiliensis (rubber tree). The record is from RNAcentral. Lineage: Eukaryota; Viridiplantae; Streptophyta; Magnoliopsida; Malpighiales; Euphorbiaceae.
GUUGGGAAAGAGGAAGAGGAAGGUUCCCAUUGUGCUAAUGUUGCCAAAGGGAAGAAGGCAAGCAACAAGAAUCCAACAGGUAGAGUUGAUAAGGCGACAAGUUCCAAUACCCCAAAAGGUACAAAUCCCUAUGCUAAACCAACUCUUAUUAAACAUUAUAAAUGCAAUGAAGAGGGGCAUAGGUCACACGAAUGUACAAGGAGGAAAACUGUGAACUUUGUUGAAAAACAAAAAGAAAUUUGCUGCAAACCCAAAUAAGGCGA